Molecule: long non-coding RNA, 420 nt
Filed under: Lathyrus oleraceus (garden pea)
Lineage: Eukaryota; Viridiplantae; Streptophyta; Magnoliopsida; Fabales; Fabaceae
Description: Pisum sativum (pea) long non-coding RNA (PSAT_LNC005677)
Source: RNAcentral
UUGUUUAAGUGUUUGAAGAAGUACAGUUUCUUAGUUUCAUUCUUUGAAUAAGUGAUGAAUGUUAGUGAUAAUGGAUGAAAAGAGUCACUCAGACGAAAUGCUUGGUUGCCUUCCGUUGAAUUACCCCCAAGAUGUUGAUACUUCUGAAGAUGAUUGGACGCAACUUUCUUAAGCUCAACUAACAGAGGAACCCUGUGCAUUCUAAACUAAGAGGGAAGUUGUAUCACACUAGAGGUACUAUGAACAUUGUCAGCUUUACCUAACACGGUGAGAGUAGAAAAGGCCAAACACAAUAUUCAUCAUGAGAGAUAAUUCAGGUAUGUCUCUAUCACUCAGAUUUUGCGUAAGUUAUUUUCGAAUACCACUACAUUAUUACACACACUGAGGCAAGUUAUUUCUUUUACCCCUGAACCAUUCAAG